This is a long non-coding RNA of Capsicum annuum, 784 nucleotides long. RefSeq lists it as uncharacterized. Lineage: Eukaryota; Viridiplantae; Streptophyta; Magnoliopsida; Solanales; Solanaceae. The record is from RefSeq and is a predicted model, not a curated record. The transcript is spliced from 3 exons.
GAAGAAUGGAGAAAAUUAAAUCACAAAGAAUAUCACCAAAACUCCCAACAUACAAUAAACAUAAAGUAAAAUAAAAACCACCCAAAAAGAUGAAAAUGAAAAAAAAAAAAAAAAACUCUCUCUUCUACUUGGAGAACACAUCUUGAAAGCACGAGCGGAGCUAGAAAGCGACUUGCAGGUUCCGCUAUGAUGGCGGCCAUUUCCUCCUCCUUUCUCCACUACCCACAAUGUAAUUUGGUUGGUUUGGGUUCUUUCACAUAUCUGACAAGGGAUUACGUGCUUAAUUUUUUGGAGAGCGAUGGCUUAAUUUAAUUUUUCGACAUGGGGCUUCUUGAUUCCCUGGAAAAAGAUAUCUUGCUUAAUUUUUCAUCGAGGGGUUGAUUGCUUAAUUUUUGACAAAGGGCUGCCUAUCCGAAAAGGAGUUGCUUGCUUAAUUUUCCGACAGGAUUGCUUGCUCAAUUUUCUUGCAAGAAACUGUUGCUUGCUUAAUUUUUCAGCAAGAGGUUGCUUGCUAAAUUGUCUGGAAAGAGGCUGCUAAAUUACCCAGGGAAGGGGUGCUUGCUUAAUUAUCGGACAAGGGGCUGCUUAAUUAUCCGGUAGGAGAAGGAAAAAUGGGGAGAGAAUUACGUGUCCCUCGUCAACAAGGUGAAAAUUCUGAAACCAACCAACUCGGUUACUAGGAUUUCUUUUAUUAUUAUUGUUUUAUGUAUUAGCUUAGCAUCUAGCGUAGUUUUUUAUGUUGCAUGUUUUGAAAUUUGAUGACUUUUGUAAUGUUUAUAUUUAA